GGUGAGGUGGCCGAGUGGCUGAAGGCGCUCCCCUGCUAAGGGAGUAUAGGGUUUGUAGCUCUAUCGAGGGUUCGAAUCCCUCCCUCACCGCCA
Molecule: transfer RNA, 93 nt
Filed under: Pseudidiomarina aestuarii
Lineage: Bacteria; Pseudomonadati; Pseudomonadota; Gammaproteobacteria; Alteromonadales; Idiomarinaceae
Also listed under: 3 other names
Description: Idiomarina aestuarii tRNA-Ser
Rfam family: tRNA
About the family: Transfer RNA (tRNA) molecules are approximately 80 nucleotides in length. Their secondary structure includes four short double-helical elements and three loops (D, anti-codon, and T loops).
Source: RNAcentral